Ruditapes philippinarum (Manila clam) is the source of this 373-nucleotide long non-coding RNA. RefSeq lists it as uncharacterized. The transcript is spliced from 3 exons. The record is from RefSeq and is a predicted model, not a curated record. NCBI's taxonomy places the organism in Eukaryota, Metazoa, Mollusca, Bivalvia, Venerida, Veneridae.
UGUAACAUUCAUAUUACCUGUCUUUUGUUUUCAAGUGUAAUCCAAGGACUUCUGAAAGAUAAAGUAACAAUUUUGGUCACACAUCAAAGGCAGUACAUCAAACUCUCCGAUGAAGUAAUUUUCAUUUCUAAGAAUGGGACAAUGGAGAGAAAAAUUGGAAAAGAAAAUCUUCAAAUAAUGAACGAUUCAGAAAUAGAUGGAUUUUCAGGACUUGACACGGAACACGUUGACAUACAACACAGUAAAUUUGAACGUAUCAACAAUGAACGGACGGGACUAGGGGACACUUCAAAUGAAUCGACAACAUUAAAAAUUGAUGUGACGGUGAGUGUCAAUACCUAACUGAGUUUAAAGGCUGUAUUGAAUUCACUUU